CAGCAUGUGAGUGGCUGGGCCAAGAUUUCAGCUUAGUCCAUCUGUACUUUUUUUUUGAGACAGUCUCGCUCUGUCGCCAGGCUGGAGUACUAUGGCUCAGUCUCGGCUCACUGCCACCUCGCCUCCCAGGCUCAAGAGAUUCUUCGGCCUCAGCCUCCCGAGUAGCUGGGAUUACAGGCAAGUGCUGCUGUGCCCAACUAAUUUCUGUAUUAUUAUUAUUUUUUUAAAUAGAGACUGGGUUUCACCAUGCUGCCCAGGCUGGUCUUGAACUCCUGACCUCAGGCGAUCCACCCACCUUGGCCUCCCAAAGUGCGGGGAUUACAGGUGUGAGCCACCACGCCCAGCCCCAUCUGUGCAUCUGUGGUUUUUUUGUUUUUUUUUUGUUUGUUUUUUUUGAGAUGGAGUCUUGCUCUGUCGCCCAGGCUGGAGUGCAGUGGCGCGAUCUCGGCUCACUGCAAGCUCCGCCUCCUGGGUUCACGCCAUUCUCCUGCCUCAGCCUCCCGAGUAGCUGGGACUACAGGCACCCGCCACCGCGCCUGGCUAAUUUUUUGUAUUUUUAGUAGAGACAGGGUUUCACCGUUGUUAGCCAGGAUGGUCUCCAUCUCCCGACCUCGUGAUCCGCCCACCUCGGCCUCCCAAAGUGCUGGGAUUACAGGCGUGAGCUACCAUGCCCGGCCUCCAUCUGUGCUUUUAAGCCACAAAUGUACCAGUGGAGAUGGUAGGAAGGAGGGUGAACACUGCCCGCUUUCUGUCCCCAUCUUUGUGAAACUCCUGCUCUUGGGAGGAUUGAUGGAUUGACACCCAACUGGAGCACAGGGUACCGGAGGAGAGGUGAGUAGUGGUUACAGCCUGGGUGACUCCAACGUGCCCUUUCCAUUUCUCCCCAUACUCUGUUCUGUCAGACAUAGAGAAAGUAGGCCGAGCACGGUGACUCAUGCCUAUAACUCCAGCAAUUUGAGAAGCCGAGGCAGGAUCGCUUGAGCCCAGGACAUGGAGAACAGCCUAGGUCAAAAGAAUGUCUACAGAGAACACAAGAGGAAAUACUUGGCUGGAAUCCACAGGAACCACUGAGGACAACCCAGGUCCCCAGACAGGCUCAACAAUGGCUCUGAGCUAAUAUACAAAGUCCGUCAUCCGCAGCACAGAGAAAAGGAAGGGGGCUUUGGGGACUUCUUGUGCAGAAAAGCAGCCACCCAGGUGGACACCAUGCAUUAGCAGGUGGCUCAUGAGGAUGCUUGUGUUCUUUCAUCAGAAGGAGAGGACUCCUGAGAAUUCUCCAACUCCCGGCUUUUAAUUUCUAGAUAAGACAACAAAGCUUCCUACAGCUCUGAGGUCCUGGCCUGCUCCCUGGGGACAUACGGGGACCCUGAGGACACUGUUGAUACAUAAUGCCUGGUACAUACUCCUGGGAUAGAGGCCUGCUUCAGAAAAGACCAGGGGAAAUGUACAGUCUUGGUACUGAGAGCAAAUUAAAGCUGGAAGAAACCAUGAAGACAGAGAAGAGCAUUAGCAGCUGACUGCGAAUGAAACUCAAGAAUUCUUACUCUAACUCUGAGAACAAGUUAGGGGCUGGCAGCCGACUGUUAAGCCCAGUGGCCUGGGUACAAAUUCUGGACUACAUCACUGACUGGCUGUGUAACCACAGACAAGUCACAUAAUCAGUUGGUGUCUCAGUUUCCUUAUCUGUAAAAUGGGGAUGUUAUUCUCUACCUCGCACCACACACAGAGAUUCACUCAAAGCGGAUCAUACACCUAAAUAAAAGAGUAAAAACUA
Long non-coding RNA from Gorilla gorilla gorilla (western lowland gorilla), 1774 nucleotides. RefSeq lists it as uncharacterized. The transcript has 2 exons. NCBI's taxonomy places the organism in Eukaryota, Metazoa, Chordata, Mammalia, Primates, Hominidae. The record is from RefSeq and is a predicted model, not a curated record.